Molecule: long non-coding RNA, 1439 nt
Organism: Astyanax mexicanus (Mexican tetra)
Lineage: Eukaryota; Metazoa; Chordata; Actinopteri; Characiformes; Acestrorhamphidae
Exons: 2
Source: RefSeq, a predicted model, not a curated record
AGGAUGGGUGUUUUUGUCUGGUAAUCUGUAAGCAUUUGGGCUAAAUAAAGCUCUGUGUUAAAAUAUUAGUGAUUUGCUUACUUUUUCUACUUUAACUGACGUGGGUUGUUUACAAACAUCCAGCAAAUCUUUCCCUUUUUGUCAGCCGGCUGUGGGUGGUGUAAUUCCUGCGUGCCUAAUUCUAAUAUAUGGGUUGAUUGCCUUUAGUUCAUUGGCUGAAUAAUCUGACCUGGGACUAUAUGUAGGCCAGGUGGCUGUUACCUGGGACACACCCUCUGUGGUUCCCACCCCCCUUCCUCGGCGUGCUGCUGGGCGAGGUCUGCAGUUUGGCGUUUGGUGUGGCUGGGUGAAUGCUCUCCUUUGUCUUGGGAAUUUUCACAAGCGUGCGUGCUGAGGCAUUUGUGAGGAGAUUGCUCCGGUGGUUUAUGCCACGUGCAAAGGUUUCCGUCUGUGGUAGGUUAUAAUUUCCUUUCACUGACUUUGAUGCUAUAAUAAACCCUCAGUGGGUUAAUCUGGUUUAUAUCUUUAGUGUGAAGCUACGAGAAGUGUUGUGACUUUCCCGCUGUCUGCCGUGGAGAAGUGAAGCCUUGGUGGGUAUGGGUGAGCGCCUAUGUAUAUUUUAAAUUUAGUUAUUUUCUAGUUCUGAUGUUACGGGGUGGUCCUAAUGUUUUGCAGGAAGCUGGGGUGGUGGAGUACGGGGAGUGUCCAAUACAGCUCUACCCGUGUGUGUGUGAGAUCACCUGUGUCCCCCUCUUCGCGGAGGCUCCUCCCCCUGCAUUAGUGCUAUUGUUUUUUUUUUGUAUUUUCUUUUGGGCUUUAUGGUUCUUUUCUAUUUUUUCCUCUGCUUAUUAUUGUUAUAUUUUGUGUUAAUUGUUUUGUAUGUCCAGACUCAGUCCUGGUGUGUAUGCUGCCUCCGGUGAGCUGUAGCGGACUGGUUUGCUUUUUUUUCUGAACGCGCGCUGCAUGUGACUCAGCGCGCUGUGUGUGUGUGUCUGUGUGUGUGUGUGUUACUAUACUUCCUGGGUCCUGAGUUGCGCGCUGCUGCGGGAGGGAAAGCCUGUAUGGUCAGUAAGCGUGAUUUAUUUAUUUUUAUGUUGCCGGGCUGUGUAUGGUUUAGUUGUGUUGGUAUAAUUGUUUAUUUGAGUUAAUUUGUUUGGUUUUUUUGUGUCUGAACAGGAGCUGGGAGUGGUGACAGGCUGCUGAGGUGUUGAAGUCUAACUGGGUGUGCUUAGUGGUGUUUGUGUGCUGUGUAGUGGGGACUCCUCUCACCUGCAGUUAGCACUGGUCACAGUGUGCUCCAGCCCUGUUCAGGUUUUGUUUUUGAUUUUUGGUGUUUGUGUUUCUUUCGUUGUGUUUCUUUUUGUAUUUAUUUAUUGAUUUAUUGGUUUUGUUUUUUUGUAAUAUUUGAUAUUUAUUAAAAGUUAUAUUUUUAAGUAUAA